This 2280-nucleotide ribosomal RNA is filed under the name Laevipeneroplis bradyi. RNAcentral describes it as "18S ribosomal RNA". It matches the Rfam family "Eukaryotic small subunit ribosomal RNA". The record is from RNAcentral. Lineage: Eukaryota; Foraminifera; Miliolida; Soritidae.
UACUAAUGCAACUGCGAAUAGCUGUUUAAUACAGUCGUAAUUGUAUUGACUUAGUAUAGUAGUACACAUGAAUAGUUAUAAUUUGGAUAACUAAGGGAAAGUUUGGCUAAUACGUUUAAUUUUUUAAAAAUUAACAUAUAAUAAUAUUACAACAUGAUAGAUAUUAUAUAAAUAUUAUAAACACUUUAUUGUGUUUUAAAAUAUAGAGUAGACUUUAUAAUAAUUAUAAUUAUAAAGCAUGUCAAACAAACAUCUAUAGCAUCAAGUCACAAUGUUGGCAUGUGUAUUAUUGAACCUUCAAAGCAUUUACGCAUUCGGAGGAGUAGUUUCUGAUCCCGUCGAAGGUGCCUGAGAGACGGCACUUAGUUCUAAGGAACGCAGCAGGCGCGUAAAUUGCCCAAUGAGAAAACAUGAUAUUGAGGCAGUAACAAGCUGUAAAGAUUCAAUAUAUUAAUUAAGAUAACAUUUGGAAUUGUCCCUUUAUAAUAUUUUUAUAAAUAUUAUUUUGGUUGAUAAUAUACCAAUGUUAUAAAAUAUUGAAUUUGAAUGCGGUGAAUUUAAUAAUUUCAAGUAACAUGUAUAAAAUAAUUAAUAUUUUAUAUAUUAUCUGAAUAUUCAAGUGGAGGGCAAGNNNNNNNNNNNNNNNNNNNNNNNNNNNNNNNNNNNNNNNNNNNNNNNNNNNNNNNNNNNNNNNNNNGCUCGUAGUUGGAUUGAAUAUAUAUUAUAACAUUUUAUUUGUUUUUCAAUACUGUGAACAAACCAGAGUGUAUAAAACAUGUAAUAUUAAUUAUUAUGCAAUGAAUGUUUUAUCAUGGGAUAUUGCAUAUAUAAUUAAAAAUUAAUAUCGAUGAAGAUAGUUGGAGUUAAGAGUACUGAUAGGCGAGCGGUGAAAUGCAUUGACCCUAUUAAGACUAACAAAAGCGAAAGCACUUAACUAGAUUAUACUUUUUGUUUAUUUACAAUGAAGAGCGAAGGUUGGGGGAACAAAGAGGAUCAGAUACCCUCGUAGUCCUAUUUUUUACAUCAAACUAUGGGAUUUCAAUUGAAUAUUAUUUUAUAUAAUUAUUCAUUAUAUAUUCUUCAACUUAAUUAAAUAAUAUUUGAUUGAGUAUAAUUUUAAUAUACUCUCAUAUAAUUAUUUUUGUUGUAUUAUUUAAAUAAAUAAUUAAUAUUUUAAAUAUAAUUGAUUAUAUGUACUUUGCGCUCAUAUAAUAAUAUAGGUGAGAUGUAAGCAUUAUUGAUGAAUAAUUAUUUUAUAUAUUNUAUUAUAUAUAAUUAAUAUAUUAUAAAUCAAAUUAAUAAAAAUGUAAUGUGAUGCACGUUUUAGGUACGAGCUUACUAUAGAAAUAUUUAAAAUAAUACCCUCCUGGGGUAGUAUGCACGCAAGUGUGAANNNNNNNNNNNNNNNNNNAAGGGCACCACAAGAACGCGUGGAGCAUGUGGCUUAAUUUGACUCAACGCGGGAAAUCUUACCAGGUCCAGACAUAUUGAGGAUUGACAGGUGAUAGUUUAUAUUUUUUUAAAAAAUAUAAGCAUAAAUAUGAUAGUCCUUUCAUGAUUAUAUGAUAGGUGGUGCAUGGCCGUUCUUAGUUCGUGGAGUGAUUUGUCUGCUUAAUUGCGUUUCAGUAAAAUAAAAUAUAUUUAUAUACAAUUAAUAUUUUAGUUCUGCCUUAUAUUUUUAAGGAUUUUUAAGUGAACAUAUUAUUGUUAUUAAUAUAUAAUAAAUGAAUGCAACGAACGUGACCGUAACCUUUUAUUGCUAUAAUAUAUUAUAAUAUAGCAUAAAAUUAAAGGAACCGCUGUCAUUAUUAUAUGUGUUAAAAUAGAGUAAGAAUACGGCAAUAACAGGUCUGUGAUGCCCUCAGAUGUUCUGGGCUGCACACGUGCUACAAUAAUUACAUUAAUAAGUAUAUAUUUUAAAUAAAUACAUUAAUAUAUAUUAUUAUUGUAUUAUAAUUAACCUAUUUCGAAAGUAAAUGGGUAAUCAUUUAAAAAUCGUGAUUUAUAAUAAAAAUAUAAUAACUAAUUUAAGGUGGGGAUAGUGUAUUGUUAAUUAUUACACUUGGCCUUAACUAGGAAUGCCUUGUACUCUUCUUUGGUUUAACAUACCAAGAGGAAUACGUCCCUGCCCUUUGUACACACCGCCCGUCGCUCUUACCGAUGAAUUAUAUUAUAAAUCUAAGGGACUUUUAAUAUAUUUUAUUAUAUAUAUAGAAACUUAUAUACAUAAUGUGAUUUAAAGGAAAGAGAAGUCGUAACAAGGCAUCAGUAGGUGAACCU